This is a long non-coding RNA of Schistocerca americana (American grasshopper), 6435 nucleotides long. RefSeq lists it as uncharacterized. The record is from RefSeq and is a predicted model, not a curated record. NCBI's taxonomy places the organism in Eukaryota, Metazoa, Arthropoda, Insecta, Orthoptera, Acrididae. The transcript is spliced from 4 exons.
UACGGUUAAUUGAAAUAGUACAAGUAGUGGGUAUAAUUUAUGCCAUAUGCUUAAAUUCCUAUUUAGAUAAUUUGUUUGACAUCUUUUUUGACGGGACUAUAUUAACGUUACGCGGAAGAAUACUUCGUGCGAAGUCCUGUUGUAGAGAACUUAUAUGCGUGAACAGUAGCUUACCGUGGCAAAGUGCAACUGAUGCUUCAUCCGUUAACAGUGUGAAGAGGUAAGUUGCUGUUAGUAAUAUGUUGGUGCUGUCUGUGGUGGAGGUGAUUCCCUGAUGAGCUUAAAAGUUUCUAACAACGAUGAAAGGUAAUGAUAUACAGUGUGAGUACAAAGUUUUGCCUUGUUUAUAAAAAAUUAUAACCGUUUGACAUAAUAAAUUAAUAAGUUACAUUUGAUGCCCUUAGAUCGGCUAGUGUUACUAGUUGUUUUGAUCAAUACAUGGAGCUAGUGCUCAAUCACCGAUGCGGUCAGUUAGGUCACGUUAGUUGCUGGUGAAAUGGCGUCGAAGCAGAAGAAAGCGCAAUGUGUGCUUUGGUUUCACGAAACUUAAUCGCCCAUCAGUAGUCAACAUAAAUUUCGGGCUUAUUAAGGGCGCAGCCCUCCUGACGUUAAAUCGAUAAACCGAAGGUGUGCAACGUUUAACGAAAGAGACAGCGUCGAAGAUCACCUUCGAAGUGGCAUGCCUCGUGUGAGUGAUACAACAGUUCGUAGUGUUCGGCAAUAGUUUCAACGGAGUCCCUCUAAAUUAACUUGUCUAGCAGGAUCACGUGAACUUCAAAGAUUCAUCAAAGGUGUAGGUUGCAUGCUUACAAAGUGCAAAUCGUGUAAGCCUUGCAACCGAAUGAUUUUCUGAUAUGUUGCUAAUUUGCAACUGAAAUCCUCAACAGAUUGAUGGCCCUAACGUUUAUUUAAAUAUGCUUUACCGGUGAAUCAACCUUUCAUGUUAGUGGGAUGGUAAAUAGGCAUAAUGUCCGUAUAUAAGGUUCGGAGUCUCAACAUUCUACUGUAGUUACAGCUUAAAAGUGAACGCUGCCUCAUGCAUAACAAGGUUUUUGGACCGUUUUUCUUCGGGGAAAUAUCAAUUACCGCUAACAGUUACUUCGAUGUUUUGCAAUAGUUCAUUCCCACACAGAAGAAUAUCAACCAUGGAUAAUUUUCCAGCAAGAUGGAAUACUCCUAUAUCGCCCAGUGGGCUUUGAUGGCGCGUGAUUUCUUGGAUGAAAAGUUACGUGAUCGGUGAAUUGGAAGGCACUAAUAACCGCAUCAAAUGUAAAUCAUAUCAAACGGGUUUUCUGUAAUUGUUUAAUCAGGGCAACACUUUGUGCUCAAUUUUUUUACAUUCCGUGGACGAUUCGUGCGAAUGAUUGGUCGAGUUGGACCACGCGACAGGAACCCACAUCGAACAUCUCAAUGGAGAGAUCAGUACGUGAAUAAAAUUGUCCCAGCAACCCUUUAGCAGUUAUGGCCGGCUGUAGACAGCAUGGCUCGAUAUUUUUGCCAACGACUGGAUAAGUUAUUCACAAUGCUGUCAAUCCCGAAGACACACAGACGUGAGCAGCAGGAUUUUCGGUUGUACUGGAUUAUCGACCUAAUUUUUCAGACACGCCUAGAAAUUUGCUGUUUAGUUUACCAACAGCAACUAGUGCAUUGAAACUGUCAUGAGCCAGAGCAUAUUUUCGUAUCCUUUCAACUACUGAUGUUAUAUUGCGGCAAUUGGCCAAUAUGGCGUCAAAUCCGGUAAGCUUGUAUCGGCCUGCUCCAAAAGUAGUUGCAAGGAAAUUUAAGCAUCCUACUGUCUUAAACUGGAAAACUUGUUCAUGCCCUUAACAGACAAUGGGACUCUGUAGUGUGGCCCCGUGGAUGUUGUGAAAUGUACUGAAUCCUCAUUGUGUGGUAGAAUGUUGGGGAAAUAGUAUGUUUGCGGAAAUUAUCAUGAUUUUCUCUAUGGAACCGAUUUUGUGUGAGCGAAUGCCUGAAUGAACUAGAUCAUUGUGGAUAUCGGGCACUAAUUGCCCCAUUAACAUAUGCAGACAUACAACCGAUUUGCUAAACUAUUUUAUUUAGUUGGGUGUAGGCUGCUGAGUCAUGUCGCCACUGCCAAGGUUUAGUGACGAUGGCGGCAUCAGUUGUAUUGUAGCCGUCAAUACAGCUUGUUUUGUAGCUGGAAGCUAGUUUCUAGUUUUAAAAAAUUGCUGUAGAAAAGAAGUUUGGUUUUCUUAAACAAACCAAACUAACAAUGAGGAAGUAAAAGUUAAAAGUUCUCGAAGGUGGCUGUGAUCUGGCAUUUCGAUUUGUUGCAAGGCUGUGCAAGAAAACUGGAAGCAGAGACAGUGUAAAAGGAUUGGGUUUGUUUCGGGAUUUGUGACAGUUCUUACUCAGUAAAAUAAUUACAUGUAAUAAUGUAGAACUUUAUUAAAUAAAGACUUCCACAAAGUGAUAGCAAGUAAAGGUUUUGUGAAUAUUAGCUAAGUGCCUUAUCCUUACCCUACUUUAAGUAAAAUUACUCAGAAGAAAAUGACUGUGAUAUGUAGAGAAUUUAAUGUUGUUAUUAAUCUAGAUUCCAGCGCUCCUGAUUCACGGUGAAACAACUUCGUUGAUAGUAAAAGAAAAAUAGCUUUGAGUUGUGUUUGUCAACAUUGGAAGUCUGCAGUUAAAAACUGAAGAACAAUGAGAUGAUACCAGUGUUUCAUAUUUUCAACGUUGCCAGGUAUUCUGCACAUAGAUUUAGUUUUCUUGUCCUUGCAGACAAGUGGCAGCCACUGAACAUUGACAUGACUGUUGUAAAAGUUCUUAAACAUAAAUACUUUAAAUGUAGGCCCAACUUUUACAAGAUUUCUUGGAACUAUGAGCAUUUUAAUGGAAACACCAUUGAAUGCUUGGUAUACAGAUGAUAAACAUUGACAUUUCAGGAUGUGUUAAAAUAGCUUGCAGAUUAAGCAGUCAAGUUCAUCAUGAUAGCUGCAGUUAUGGAAAUGGAAUUUCAGAUUUGUUUUGGAAAACGCCAUAUUUGUGGUGUGGUUGCACCUAAUCAGAUUUCCAAUAAAUUGAAUUCCUGCACUAAGAUUAGUCACGAACACGACAGGUUUGUUGUACAGCUGUCCAUGAAGUGUCCAAUGUCAUUGGCUAGUGCAUCAUAUAUUGUGAAUCAUUAUAUGAAGCAUGUUGUUGAAGAGGAAUUCUAUGGCAGUGGUGCUCCAGAUGUGCGUUUUAUACCCAAGGCUAAUGAAAUAAUUUGCCAGAGUAUGUCUCAAGUUGACUUUGUAGAAUGAUUUUUACUUCAUUAAAAUUUUGGUCUGUUGAGAGUGGAGUACAGUUUUACUAACAGCAGACAGAGUAAGGUCAUUUCCAAAAUUUAACACCGAUCUGGGAAGUCCAACAUAGCAUUUCUUGUAAGUACUGCUUUUAUCAGUUGAUUCUUUAUAUAUUUCUUUAGGGUUCUGCAGUGAACAAGAGUGCCUGGAGGUGUGUGGUUGCUAAUGGUGACUGAAGGCCCGUUAAGUUAUUGUUAACUCUUGUUUCCUUUAUUUUGAGAAAAACUUCCCAGACAAAUGUUGUUGCUGUAAACUCGCAAUGAAGCUAGUGAUAGCGUAAGCUGACACUAUAUGUAGUGAUAUAUUGCUGUAAUAGGUUCAUCAUAAGAAUAAACCUGAUGUAAUCAAGCACGAUCAUUGGUCGGAAGUGGUGGCACGUGUACAUCGUGUUACUCUUUGAAGUAGGUCCUACUUAUGUGUCAGGUAUUUUAUUACUAGGUUAUGUUAAAUGAAACUUUAAGAUAUCAAAUGUAUUAACAGCCAUUAACGUUUUUCUUAAUCACACUGUAGCUAUGUAGUUUUUACUUAAAAAAUUGUGUAAUAACAGCCUCUGCAGUGUUGUGCUCUGAUUAUUGCGCUGUUAAUGCGCAAUAUGAAAAUGGCAGAGGCUGCUUUCUGUUGUGUAGUGGAACACAGUUCAAAAGUGCCAAGAAAUAGGCUCAUAAAUUUACUGAGGUAAUUGGCUUUGAAGUAUCUCCAGCGAAGUAUACACUGCAGUUAAUAAACUAAAACCACACUGUACAUGUAGCACAGUCAGUCACAUAAUGGUAUGUGAACCAAAUGUGGUUAUUCAUGCAUUGGUUCAGAUAUCCCCAGAAUCAUUCUAUUUUUCCUCUCAUUCAAUCUGAAAUAAUUAUAUCUUGUUAUUUAUUAUGAAUAAUGCAUGUCUCCUUGUUUCUAAUUACAUAUGGGAUGUAAAAUUCCUGUUUCCAUUUCAAAUACAAAUUCUUAAUUAUCAAUCUUUCAUGAAAGACUGUCCAUAAAAGUUGUUUAAUUAAACUACUUCAUUUUUUAAAGAAAAAAUGAAAAACCAAAUCCUCUUUAUUUGGACUAUGUCCAUUGUUUACUACCAUAGAGGUAGUAGAUAUGUAUUGUGGAAACAUGAAAGACAAUCGUUUUCACAGCAUUGUGCACAUGAUCCAAAUGAUGCAUUUUUACAUUUGCUACUGUGUCAUUACAGUAUGAAGUCAACAGAAGUGAUCUGCAGCCUAGCUGUGGGAUUUGGCCCACGAAGUAACAAGACUAUUAUCAUGCUAGACAUACUGGAACUAAUGCACACAGCUUUUUCACGCUGACAGGAUAUAGAAUGGCUUCUCGUAAAAGAAGAGAGAAUGCUUCACAUGGUUGGCUUUGUGGAUUCUGUUGUUGAUAGGCUCAUUAUCAACGUAGCAAGUGACAUUUCCAGAAUUGAAAUGUUUUCGGAUAAGGAAGGAGCUAAGAGAUCACCAGAUGACUGACUAACUGAGCAAGAUAUGAAAUGGUAAAUUACACAACAGAGAACUUGUGAAUCUUGUACCCAGCAUAUUUUUACUGAAAAGUUUUAAGAACAAUGCGGCUAGCAAACAGAAGACUUGAUCUUCUGCAGAAAGACAUGUAUGAUAUACUUGUAAAAAAAAACAGUAAUAAUGUUGACUGAACAAGCAAGAAAUCCAGUUUUAUGCAACAAUUGCUGCUACAGCUGAUCCACAAAAGGUAGGUACCUAACACACUUCCGAGGUAAUCCCAUUUACAAAAACAUUUGUAUUUUAGUCGGGGAAUUGUAAGACUGCAAAUCAUUCGACUGCAUACAAAAUUGAAAAGCUGAGGAAAACUUCUAAGUUAACAUAGACGUGCAUGACAAUUCUCAUACUCACACUUUCAGUGGCAUAUGCUGCUGUUGUUAACUUAUUCUAAAGUAUAGCAUCAUGAAUAAAUUUGGUUUGUAACUGAAUUGCCAAGAUUUGGCUAUUCUUUACAAUACAGGGGCAGUCAUGUCUCCAUAAUUAAUGUUUCUAAUGCAAAAACGUAGAUUUUAUUAUUUAAUGGGUAGAAGUAUAAUAGAAAACAAAGAUUGAUCAUAGACAUAGCUUUCACUGCUGGGGCAUUGGAAUGAAGUUGUCAAGUUGGUAAUAAUAUUCACAGCACUGUUGUGCCUGUAUGUGUCAGAUGUGGAAGUAGACAGACUUGGUAAUUCUUGCACAGCUAAACAUUUUGAUGAAACAGGGCUCCCAUAUUUGAAGAAUAAAAAGUGGUUUGCAGUUAACCAGUUCUGGGUACAUAGGGUGCAAUCCUACAGACUGUACUGACAAUGUUUCUCCAACAAAAUAAAUAAAUACAUUACCAUUGUGAUUAUUAAACUAACAAAUAGGUGGCAUCUGCAAGAAGAAUAAAACAAGUGGCAAUAUGAAUGAAUUGCAUACACGCACUAAAAAAUAUCAAUAAAAGUAAUUAAAAUUGUAUUUUGAUCUCAUAAGAACAUUAUCACAACUCUUCAGAUUUUUAGGUAAAAGAAUAAUGCAGUAGGCACCUUUAGGAGACAUUCGUUAAGUAGCAUUGUAUUCAGUAUAGGUUCAUAUUGUGUAAACUGCAUUCCAUCAAAAUGAUGCUUCAUAAUUUUAAUACAAAGAAACUUCAUGAAUUUGUCACAGUUGUAUAAUAGUCUGUAUCUAAUAAUUCAAACACGAGCUAUCGCACAAGGACAGCAGCAGAUGUUUUUAUAUUAAAAACAGGUAAGUAGAGGUAUUGUCCAUUGUUGACAUGCAUGUACAGUUAUUUGGUUUGGUGCACAAUCUCAACUCAUUGAGCUUGUAUACCCUUCAUUGUAACGACAGCCUCGAGUAUUACCUUGGACAGGGAGUGAAUAUCAUUGGCUCUUUAGUUGAAGCAACACACACACACUCUCUCUCUCUCUCUCUCUCUCUCUCUCUCUCUCUCUCUCUCUCUCUCUCUCUCUCUAUGCUGCAGUGUUACUGUAGUGCCCUGGGUCAAAGCAUCGUGGCACAUUACGAAAGUGGAGUAUAACACAGUACCACAUGUUUUGCAGCAGUGGAACUGUUACAUUUGUGUGGAGCCAAUACAGAAAACGGCUACAAAUGUUUCCACCGCUGCUGAAAACAAGUUACUUUGUAAAUCGGUCUGUAGUGGU